GUCCCCUUCGUCUAGAGGCUUAGGACAUCGCCCUUUCACGGCGGCAACAGGGGUUCGAAUCCCCUAGGGGACGCCA
The sequence is a transfer RNA, 76 nucleotides long. It matches the Rfam family "tRNA". Rfam says of the family: Transfer RNA (tRNA) molecules are approximately 80 nucleotides in length.